Long non-coding RNA from Drosophila virilis, 201 nucleotides. RefSeq lists it as uncharacterized. The record is from RefSeq and is a predicted model, not a curated record. Lineage: Eukaryota; Metazoa; Arthropoda; Insecta; Diptera; Drosophilidae.
AACUGUUCUGUAAAAAUGAAGUUCAUUAUCGGGCUUAUUUGUGCUCUUUUUUUAGCUGAAAGCGCGUACGAAGCUAGGAUUCCUCCAUGCACUAACUUUGGAUGCAAUUGGGACGAAGGUGCAUAAGUAUGUACAUUUUAAUUUACAAUUUGCUGCAAAUCAUAAUAAAAAGCAAGUAACAAUUGUGGCUUAGCAAUAAGA